GACGAACGCUGGCGGCGUGCUUAACACAUGCAAGUCGAACGAUGAGGCCGGAGCUUGCUCUGGUGAAUUAGUGGCGAACGGGUGAGUAACACGUGAGUAACCUGCCCUUGACUCUGGGAUAACUGCGGGAAACUGUAGCUAAUACCGGAUACGACCCUCGGAGGCAUCUCCUGGGGGUGGAAAGAAUUUCGGUCAAGGAUGGACUCGCGGCCUAUCAGCUAGUUGGUGAGGUAAAGGCUCACCAAGGCGACGACGGGUAGCCGGCCUGAGAGGGUGACCGGCCACACUGGGACUGGGACACGGCCCAGACUCCUACGGGAGGCAGCAGUGGGGAAUAUUGCACAAUGGGCGCAAGCCUGAUGCAGCAACGCCGCGUGAGGGAUGACGGCCUUCGGGUUGUAAACCUCUUUUAGCAGGGAAGAAGCGAAAGUGACGGUACCUGCAGAAAAAGCACCGGCUAACUACGUGCCAGCAGCCGCGGUAA
Molecule: ribosomal RNA, 484 nt
Filed under: uncultured bacterium
Lineage: Bacteria
Description: partial 16S ribosomal RNA
Rfam family: Bacterial small subunit ribosomal RNA
Source: RNAcentral